Molecule: long non-coding RNA, 568 nt
Organism: Vitis riparia (riverbank grape)
Lineage: Eukaryota; Viridiplantae; Streptophyta; Magnoliopsida; Vitales; Vitaceae
Exons: 2
Source: RefSeq, a predicted model, not a curated record
UGGAAAACGAAUUCCGAUGGCCGCGAUUCACAAUGUACAUCAUCAACAAAUCCGGAGGCUUAAUCUUCUACAAGGGAAACAAAUAGCGGUCAAUGGGGUGCUUACGAUUAUGGAUGGGCGGUACGGAUGGACACGAAUGAUAGCUUGCGAUCGGCGAGUUUAUGGCAUUCGAAGCAUGCGAUUUCUCAGCAUUAUCGCCGACUAAGGGUUGCUCAGGGAACGAACUCCUUGAAGCGGAUGCGGAUGCAUUCGAUCUCCAUUGCUUCCAAGCACUCACUGGUAUGCCUGGAUUUUAAUCUAAUUUGCUUUAAAAAAAAAAAAGAAUUUGAAAUUUGAAGAUUUUGUUUUAUGUUGUGUUGGUUCUCUGUAUGGAUCCCGGGAAAAUGUAGGAAACUGAAGGAAAGAGAAUUGAUAAUUCAACUAAGAUAGUGGAAAUGAUUCUGUAAUAAGGUUUGAUUCGGUGGAGUUUUGAGUUUUCGCUCUUACUGAGAAAUUUGAAUAGUGUAGAUCUAAUCUUUAGGUCAGUGACCGAGUGGAAUCAGAUGAUAAUAGCUGAUUUUUAUUUUUA